This 67-nucleotide ribosomal RNA is filed under the name Trypanosoma congolense IL3000. The record is from RNAcentral. Lineage: Eukaryota; Euglenozoa; Kinetoplastea; Trypanosomatida; Trypanosomatidae.
GACCAUACUUGGCCGAAUGCACCAUAUCCCGUCCGAUUUGUGAAGUUAAGCGGCCACAGGCCUCGUU